UACGUAGGGUCCGAGCGUUGUCCGGAAUUAUUGGGCGUAAAGGGCUCGUAGGCGGUUUGUCGCGUCGGGAGUGAAAACACGGGGCUUAACCCCGUGCCUGCUUCCGAUACGGGCAGACUAGAGGUAUGCAGGGGGAGAACGGAAUUCCUGGUGUAGCGGUGAAAUGCGCAGAUAUCAGGAGGAACACCGGUGGCGAAGGCGGUUCUCUGGGCAUUACCUGACGCUGAGGAGCGAAAGUGUGGGGAGCGAACAGG
RNAcentral lists this ribosomal RNA (254 nucleotides) under uncultured bacterium. RNAcentral's name for it is "partial 16S ribosomal RNA". It matches the Rfam family "Bacterial small subunit ribosomal RNA", at positions 524 to 776 of the family's 1533-position model. The record is from RNAcentral.